Molecule: ribosomal RNA, 1941 nt
Filed under: Triticum aestivum (bread wheat)
Lineage: Eukaryota; Viridiplantae; Streptophyta; Magnoliopsida; Poales; Poaceae
Description: partial small subunit ribosomal RNA
Source: RNAcentral
AUGCGUUCUAUUGAUGAAACGAUCACCCACAACGUCGACAGAAUGGACUAUAAUAAUUUCAUCGGGCAACUUCGUUUCAUCCUCGCGAACCACCGCGACAACCCAAAGCAGCAUGUCCGCGACCUCCAUAGGAAAAUCCGUUACGUGCUUCCCAAGCAGAGGCAUUCCAGAGAGCCGGAUAGGUGGAUAUACAUCAAGCUUGAACUGGACGACGGCGCAGAGACGACACUAAGGGUCCGGGACGACAACGUUUACCUGACUGGCUUCGAGAAUAAGGAAGGAGAAUUGUUCGAGUUUGGUUUCUCGGGGACGACGAUGAUUGACGGUAGCAAGAAGAAGAGCAGGCCUAUGGUCCGAGACAAAGAGUCCAGGUUCUUGGAAUGCGAUGUCAACUACGGGAGCCUAGUACAUGGAGGGGCGGGGAAGCUUGUGAAAAUGUGUCUUGGCCCAGAGCCCGUGCGCUCAGCCGUGCGCUGGCUAUCAGGCUACUCACAAGGUGAAGGCGGCAGGGUUGACGAGCGCACCAAACGUGCACUGGCAUUUCUCAUGGUGAUGGUUUGCGAGGCCACAAGAAUGCGCCCGCUCCAGAUGCAGGCGGGCUGGCAGGCCAAGUGGUGCUGCACCGACCGCAAGCACGUGGACUACAUCUGGGGUUGGGGCGACAUGUCUGAGGCCCUGCUGCGGUGGGACAGGGAGUCGGGCAACUUCAAAUUCCCCCAGUGUCUGAGGGAUAUCGGGGUCGGGAGCGCAUUGAAGGCAUUUGGUAUAGUUGAGCUGCUGCUUAACACGCCCAUUCAUCGUCCGCCCCGAUGGCGGGGGGAGCGGUACCAGCCAGGGCGGCCCGCGGCAGGUGACGACGACGACGCCAGGCGAUCGGAGCAACAGCGCCGCCGCGCGGCAGGUGACCGUGGCGGUCAGAGGCCCGCUGCAGGUGAACAUGGCAGCGGAUCCAGGGGGCAGCAGCAGUCUCCCCCUCCUCCUCCUCCUCCUAACAAAAAAAGGAGAACCGAGCAGCAGCAUGACCAGGACCAGCAGCAGCAGCCGUCUGACAAGGGCAGCGGGGAUUCCCACCAGCAGGAGACACCAUCGGAAUCGCCUGCUGACGAUUUCGUGGCCCGUGGCCGGCCAUUGGUGGAGGUGUUCGCCGUGCGCGCCGGCUUCCAUUUCGUCGGCACCAUUUCCGUGUUCGACGGCAUGCGCGGCCAGGUCAUCUACGAGAUGGGCAACAAUGGCGGUGCUCCUCCUAUCCAUGGCUCCUCUUCGAGCUCGGGUGACGACGACCAGCCGCGGCCGCUGCUGCUGACUGGGCCAUACCGAGCCAUCUCCGCGUACGGGAGCUUUACCAUUGAGGUUGACAUCAGCGGCGCCGGAGACGUUGGUGAGCUGGAUUGGGACUGCUACGACCAAGCAAAGGUUUACGACAGGCAAGUUACAGAGACCAUCACAACGAGCAGCAGCGGCCGGAAGGUACACGUGACCUACGCGGUGCUGAGCGACGCCGUGGAUGCCGAAUUGGAAGUCCACCUUCGCCUCCCCGGAGCCACUGCCGCCGCCGUCUACGGUCGCAUCGCCACGCGCAGCAAGGCGUUCCAUGAUGAAGACACAUCAUGGAGCGUGCUGUUCGACUCGGAGGUCGAGGGGGUGCUGCUCGUCGCCGGUACCCGGUUGCCGCUGGCACGGUCUGUCGUGGCCAUGCCACUUGGUUCGCCGCUCCUGAUAACGGCAACCCUGUACGAUGCACCACCAAGCCAACAUGGUGUCAGCCCCGUCUUUCAAUUCCAGGAUAUGGAGCUCACCCUUGAUAUGAGGAGAUGCUCUGCCAACAACGGCGGCGGCGAGUUUGAAGUCAGCAUCACCUCGCCUGACCACUAUCCCCGGCCAAGGCGAAAUGACACUGCGACCCCACGACCAAGGCCUACCAACCACUAUGGUUGUUCGUGA